CCAGCAGCCGCGGUAAUUCCAGCUCCGCAAGUGUAUUCCUAUACUGUUGCGUUUAAAUAGCUCGUAGUUGGAUCUGCGUGUUUAGCGCGCGGUGUUACUUCACUGUAGCUACUGUGACGCGGCACAAAGUGCUAAGUACUUUCAGAAAGUAGUUAGCCAGUUUACUUUGAACAAAUCAGAGUGCUCAAAACGGGCGUUUCGCUCGAAUGUUCUUGCAUGGAAUAAUGGAAUAGGACCGCGCGUUCUAUUUUGUUGGUUUUCGGGACGCGGGUAAUGAUUAAGAGGGACAGACGGGGGCAUUUGUACUGCGACGUGAGAGGUGAAAUUCUUGGAUCGUCGCAAGA
Molecule: ribosomal RNA, 344 nt
Filed under: uncultured eukaryote
Lineage: Eukaryota
Description: SSU rRNA
Rfam family: Eukaryotic small subunit ribosomal RNA
Source: RNAcentral